UUUCACUUGUAUUUGACCUGUAACAGCAACAUUUUGUGAAUUUAAAACCAAAGGAAAAAACGAGCCAGAAUUACGUGAAAUUAAAGGUCUGUUGUUUCCUUCAUUGUUUGGUAGAGAAUCAUGCAUGGCACUUGAGACUUUAGAAAGUGUUGUUUCAGGUACUUCCCGAUCCUGGGCCUCCUCCUGUAACCCACCGCAGGCAUUGCUAGAGGCAUGUUCUUUAUUAAAAAAGGAGAAAGACUUUUAGCAGCCAAGGGAGCCUAUGAAUCUACACCCGUCUUAGUCCCACCCGUGGACUGGUCAACCGAAGUGAUAAUGGCUUGAAAUACUCGGGCUUCGCCCUUAUGAAAUUUUCCUAACGACAGACCCAAAUUCGAUUUCUUAAAACCAUCAUUAAUGGAUUUCCUGCCUGUUGAAACCUUAUUUUGAGAACCAAUUAAAGUUGCUUUCCCUUCUUUUCUUCAAAUCAGUCUGGGGAUCCUUAAUCGUUUCCUCUUCCGAUGAAACCGCCUCCAAAUCUGCUAAAGAUUGAAAUCGCGAUCCCAAAUUUUUCUUCCCUUUCAAGUUAUUUCCUUUUUUAGUUCGAUCCAAGGUGUCGUGAUUCCAAGGUUUCUUCCCAGCAUCUUAAGAACCACAGAAGUUAACAUUUCCUUUUCCAAAAGUUGAUAAACUCUCUCUGAAAAGUCAAUGGAAGGAACACCAUCAACAAAAGAUUUCUUGACAUCCUGCUCUGUAAGGGAGAAGCUAUCAGCAAAAUGUUGGUCAUCAUUCUUGUUAUUCUAAUCUAAAGUUUCCUUUCCCAUCAACAUAUCCUUCCAUGACAACGAAGGCACUGGUACUGGAUCCACAACCAUCACAUCAUCAGGAGUUGCAUCUGAUUCCUUA
RNAcentral lists this long non-coding RNA (885 nucleotides) under Gossypium barbadense (sea-island cotton). RNAcentral describes it as "long non-coding RNA (GBAR_LNC019575)". The record is from RNAcentral. Lineage: Eukaryota; Viridiplantae; Streptophyta; Magnoliopsida; Malvales; Malvaceae.